GACGAACGCUGGCGGCGUGCUUAACACAUGCAAGUCGAACGGAAAGGCUCCUGCUUGCUGGGGUACUCGAGUGGCGAACGGGUGAGUAACACGUGGGUGAUCUGCCUUGUACUCUGGGAUAAGCUUGGGAAACUGGGUCUAAUACCGGAUAAUAACUGCCUUUAGUGUGGGGGUGGGAAAGUUUUUUCGGUGCAAGAUGAGCUCGCGGCCUAUCAGCUUGUUGGUGGGGUAAUGGCCUACCAAGGCGUCGGCGGGUAGCCGGGCUGGGAGGGUGUACGGCCACCUUGGGACUGGGAUUCGGCCCCGGCUCCCACGGGGGGCAACCGUUGGGAAUAUUGCACCAUGGGCGGGAGCCUGAUGCAGCGAAGCCGCGGGGGGGAUGACGGGCUUCGGGUUGGAAACUCCCUUCGACAGGGACGAAGCUGUUUGUGACGGUACCUGGAUAAGAAGCACCGGCUAACUACGUG
This 467-nucleotide ribosomal RNA is filed under the name uncultured bacterium. RNAcentral describes it as "partial 16S ribosomal RNA". It matches the Rfam family "Bacterial small subunit ribosomal RNA", at positions 28 to 507 of the family's 1533-position model. The record is from RNAcentral.